RNAcentral lists this long non-coding RNA (1988 nucleotides) under Sus scrofa (pig). RNAcentral describes it as "lncRNA (ENSSSCG00070001851.1)". The record is from RNAcentral. Lineage: Eukaryota; Metazoa; Chordata; Mammalia; Artiodactyla; Suidae.
CACAUCUCGCUGCAGGUUCUGUCGUCAUCUGAAUUUUACAUCUGGCAAGGUCAUCCUUGAAAGAGCAAUGUCCUUUUGGGCUGCCCCUUCUCAAGCUCGCUUUCCUGUUGUCUCUUAAGAAGAAAAAAGUCAAACCCUUGCCCUGCCCCUGGGCCACACGUGUGAUCAGCGAGUGUUGUUUCUGCCCCAAGCUCACCUUAUUUCUCCAGCCUCCAGAGACUUGAUGCUUCUGUUUGGCGUCUAUUUUUAGUGCCUCUGGGUGAAUGUCAUUGCCGCCGGAGGCUGACAUUUCAUACUCUGGGAACCUUGACCUGCUGCUUUUCCGGUUGUGAGCUGACCCUGCUUUUUUAUGCCCCAGAAGGAAAGAACAACGAUCAUUAACAAUCAGCAUCUUCUGGAAAAUCGGAAACGGAGCCUCCGUGAUCCGAGGCUGCCCUUAACCUCGGCUGUGCUGCCUGCAGUGGCCACCACAUGGCUCAUCUCCAGAAGGCUCCGCGGCUGCCAGGGUGACACGCUGGGGCCACCAGCCGUGUCAAAGCAGGGAAAGCGCAGUCGGUGCCGGGCUGGGAACCAUGGCCAGGGGUGGAGGAGGGUGAGGCGGAGUGAUAAAAACUCGGUGGAGAAAGCUGCUCUAACCAGGAGCCUCGCUGGAGCGGACAGAGGGUGGCAGCCCCUCCCCCGGCAGCCCAAGACAAACAGGGCGGCAGGAAGUUCCCACGCUCCCAGGGCUGGCACCCAGAGCCUCUGCAGUCACCUGCUGGGGGCUGGAGCUGCCAGGAGGAGGAGGGCGGGGCCUCAGCCGCCCACAGGUGAGCCUGGAGCCCUGCGGCCAGGGGGUGGGGCCAGCUGGAGCACAUCUGCUGAGCUCCUACUAGGAGCCAAGCACCUUGCGAAUGCCGUCUCCCCCGCGAGCCCUCACAAAAAUCCUACCAAACUAACAUUAAGCUUUGCAUUUCACAGAAUAGGAACCUGGGACCCGGAGAGGUGAAGUGAUAUCCUCGGGCCACCCAGCCCCGAAAGGGAAGAAUCAGGAUCUUGGACUCAGGCCCCUCUGGCUUCAAAGUCUGUGCUUUUUAGCCUUGUUGUGUAUCCACUCAGCAAACCUUUGCUGAAACCCUACCGCGUGCCAGGCUCUCAGCCUUGGCCCCAGGGCUGACCUUGUAUCCCGUAUCCCAGGGGUAGGGCUGUCCCUUCCCUUUAGUGACAUCGAUCAAGGGGCAGACCUUCUCCUUCUUGUCACCCAGCACAGUGCCUGCAUGUAGCAGGUGCAUUGGAAGAGCCAGCCGAAUGACUGGGGCCAUGGCCAGGUCAGCAGCUGUCACUCCUGCCUGGGGGACAGAGGCUUCUGAGGCCCCCUGGGCCUUCAGGUCUCAGAGGACCCCUCACAGCUGCCUCCCAGGGACCACACUUCUGCUGGUCCCUCCUCCACCCCCAGACAGGGAACCACCCAUGCCAGUGUGGGAGCCACCUCGGAGUCCACGGUUAUGACAAGGCGAGGCCAGGAUGAGAGGCACAUUUCAGGUGGGCAUUUGGGGCAGGUGGCAGCUGUUGGAGGCUGUCCUCCUCUCCAGGCCCCCAGCCAGGACACCAGUGUGACACUUAUGGCCCCUCUCACCUCUCGGAUUCUAGAACCUCGAGGUCAGGAACCACGACGUAGCCUACGCUCAGGAACGACCUGUCCUCCGAGGGCCGGCUUCCGCUUUCCUGCAGGUACGGGGAGUUAGGGCAAAGCCCUGCCCACUCACUUUUCCACUGCCCGCCUACCUCUGGACCCGCCCAUCUGUUUAUCAUCCUUCUAGCCAACACCUCCAUCACCUGCCCGAAGGUACGCAGCUAUUCCAGCAGGCUACCCGAUGAGCACGCAGGCGUCCAUCCUGCCAUCCGACCACCGUUCCACCUGUUCACCCACCAGCAUCCUCCAUCCAUCGUCCAUCAACCCAGGCAGCCUCCACCCGCCCACUGUGUGGUUCCUCUGUCUAUCCUUUGAU